UCCUACUUAACGUAGGCAGUCCCUCUAGAGUGCCCAACUUAAUGCUGGCAACUAAAGGCAAGGGUUGCGCUCGUUGCGGGACUUAACCCAACAUCUCACGACACGAGCUGACGACAGCCAUGCAGCACCUGUGAUAGCGCCCGAAGGCUAUGACAUCUCUGCCAUAUUCACUACCAUGUCAAACCCGGGUAAGGUUUUUCGCGUUGCAUCGAAUUGAACCACAUGCUCCACCGCUUGUGCGGGCCCCCGUCAAUUUCUUUGAGUUUUAAUCUUGCGACCGUACUUCCCAGGCGGAACACUUAACGCGUUAGCUUCGGCACUGAAGGGGUCAAUACCUCCAACACCAAGUGUUCAUCGUUUACGGCGUGGACUAC
This 374-nucleotide unclassified non-coding RNA is filed under the name uncultured Pseudobdellovibrionaceae bacterium. Its description in RNAcentral is "uncultured Bdellovibrionaceae bacterium contains 16S-23S intergenic spacer region". Lineage: Bacteria; Pseudomonadati; Bdellovibrionota; Bdellovibrionia; Bdellovibrionales; Pseudobdellovibrionaceae. The record is from RNAcentral.